Molecule: non-coding RNA, 82 nt
Organism: Glossina fuscipes fuscipes
Lineage: Eukaryota; Metazoa; Arthropoda; Insecta; Diptera; Glossinidae
Source: Rfam
GCAGUCGUGGCCGAGCGGUUAAGGCGUCUGACCAGAAAUCAGAUUUGCUCUGGGCGCCUAGGUUCGAAUCCUAGCGACUGCA